Molecule: ribosomal RNA, 400 nt
Filed under: uncultured bacterium
Lineage: Bacteria
Description: bacterial SSU rRNA
Rfam family: Bacterial small subunit ribosomal RNA
Source: RNAcentral
GGGAAUCUUGCACAAUGGGGGCAACCCUGAUGCAGCGACGCCGCGUGAGCGAUGAAGCCCUUCGGGGCGUAAAGCUCUUUCGACCGGAAAGAUAAUGACGGUACCGGGAGAAGAAGCUGCGGCUAACUACGUGCCAGCAGCCGCGGUAAUACGUAGGCAGCAAGCGGUGUUCGGGGGUACUGGGCGUAAAGAGUGCGUAGGCGGUUUUCUAAGUUCGGUGUGAAAUCUCCCGGCUUAACUGGGAGGGUGCGCCGAAGACUGGGAAGCUGGAGUGUGGGAAAGGCAGGCGGAAUUCCUGGUGUAGCGGUGAAAUGCGUAGAUAUCAGGAGGAACACCGGCGGUGUAGACGGCUUGCUAGACCAUAACUGACGCUGAGGCACGAAAGCGUGGGUAGCAAACA